RNAcentral lists this transfer RNA (76 nucleotides) under Candidatus Shapirobacteria bacterium CG07_land_8_20_14_0_80_39_18. Its description in RNAcentral is "tRNA-Thr". It matches the Rfam family "tRNA". From Rfam's summary of the family: Transfer RNA (tRNA) molecules are approximately 80 nucleotides in length. Their secondary structure includes four short double-helical elements and three loops (D, anti-codon, and T loops). Further hydrogen bonds mediate the characteristic L-shaped molecular structure. tRNAs have two regions of fundamental functional importance: the anti-codon, which is responsible for specific mRNA codon recognition, and the 3' end, to which the tRNAs corresponding amino acid is attached (by aminoacyl-tRNA synthetases). tRNAs cope with the degeneracy of the genetic code in two manners: having more than one tRNA (with a specific anti-codon) for a particular amino acid; and 'wobble' base-pairing, i.e. permitting non-standard base-pairing at the 3rd anti-codon position. Lineage: Bacteria; Candidatus Shapironibacteriota. The record is from RNAcentral.
GCUGACAUAGCUCAGUUGGCAGAGCGCGUCUUUGGUAAAGACGAGGUCUCCGGUCCGAUCCCGGAUGUCAGCUCAA